Molecule: ribosomal RNA, 254 nt
Filed under: uncultured bacterium
Lineage: Bacteria
Description: partial 16S ribosomal RNA
Rfam family: Bacterial small subunit ribosomal RNA
Source: RNAcentral
UACGUAGGGUGCGAGCGUUAAUCGGAAUUACUGGGCGUAAAGCGUGCGCAGGCGGCGCGUUAAGACAGGUGUGAAAGCCCCGAGCUUAACUUGGGAAUUGCGCUUGUGACUGGCGUGCUGGAGUGUGGCAGAGGGAGGUGGAAUUCCACGUGUAGCAGUGAAAAUGCGUAGAGAUGUGGAGGAACACCAAUGGCGAAGGCAGCUCGCUGGGACGUUACUGACGCUGAGACGCGAAAGCGUGGGGAGCAAACAGG